AAAUAUUUCACUCGCAACGAGUCUUCGUGGCUCGCCUAUUGUUGCUACUAAUUUGCACUUAAAUUCCCUGCAAUGUGAAAAGUCAAUCUUGCAGCAAGUGUCGAUGGCUUUGAUUCCGUUGAAUUAAUUUUCUUCGAAUGUAAAAUGCAUGGUAAUCGAUGUCUGAAAAUUGAUAUAAUUGUAAAAUAAUUGCUACAAUCAAUAAUUCAGUUGGCACAGCUUAAGGUAAGUUAAUCCCAUGUCUAGCUCUUUUAGCUUCCUGGAAUCAAUGCACAAUGGUUGUUGGCUGAUGGAAUAUUGAUAUUAUAGUUAAGCUUUAGCUUGCAGAGGGCGCCACCUUAAUCGUUAUCGCUUUGCCAUCGAACCAAACCUCUGUUGGCCCAUUGAAUGACCCGCCCAACUCUGACGUUUGCUGCUGUUUCAGUUGAUGUUGCUGCUGCCUGUUUCCCUGAGGUGAUUUUGCAAGAUUUGUCUGACGUGACGACUGCUGGGAGAAGUGCUCGAGAAACUAAUUUCUUCAAAUCAAAUGUUGAGCAAAAAGUAAAAGUGUAUUGCAAUCAAUGCUUAUGCAAGUAAUGGCUCUGAUAAAUGUACUUGCUAUUUCGAAUUGCAAAAAAUUCAAAAUUUAUACACAAUUUUGUUAAGCAUAGAAUUUCAUUUCAAUAC
This is a long non-coding RNA of Drosophila sulfurigaster albostrigata, 666 nucleotides long. RefSeq lists it as uncharacterized. Lineage: Eukaryota; Metazoa; Arthropoda; Insecta; Diptera; Drosophilidae. The transcript is spliced from 3 exons. The record is from RefSeq and is a predicted model, not a curated record.